UUAAGGGAAGAAGGGCACAUAGUGGAUGCCUUGGCAUUAGGCGGCGAAGAAGGACGUGGCAGGCUACGAAAAAGCAUGGGGAGCUGCGAGCGAGCGUAGAUCCAUGUGAAUCCGAAUGGGGCAACCUGUGCAGAGGAGAGCUGCACAUUAUGUACUGAAGCGAGUAGGUAUAUAAGGCGAACCUUCUGAAGUGAAACAUCUCAGUAAGGAGAGGAGAAGAAAUCAAAAGAGAUUCUCUGAGUAGUGGCGAGCGAAAGGGGAAGAGCCCAAACCUGGCAUAUGGAAAUAAGUUAGGGGUAGAAGGACCUAGGUUAGUAGUUUAUUUAUGAUAUAACUGAACUAGCAUGGAAAGGCUGACCGUAGGGGGUGAUAGUCCUGUAGGUGUAAUGUUAUAGAUAAGCGAAUAGGGAUCCUGAGUACCACGGGGCACGAGGAAUCCUGUGGGAAUCUGGGGGGACCAUCCUCCAAGGCUAAAUACGACCUAAUGACCGAUAGUGGACGAGUACCGUGAGGGAAAGGUGAAAAGAACCCUGGCGAAGGGAGUGAAAUAGACCUGAAACUGUGUGUUUACAAACAAUUGUAGCUUCUGAGAAGGAGUGGCAGUGUACCUUUUGAUUAAUGGGCCAGCGAGUUAUUUAAUGUAGCGAGGUUAAGCAUUUAAGGUGUGGAGCCGGAGGGAAACCGAGUCUUAAUAGGGCGAGUAGUUGCAUUAAGUAGACCCGAAACCAAGUGAUCUACCCAUGGACAGGAUGAAGGGAGGGUAAAACUUUCUGGAGGUCUGAACCGGUGUUUGUUGCAAAAAGCUCGGAUGAGCUGUGGGUAGGGGUGAAAGGCUAAUCAAACUUGGUGAUAGCUGGUUCUCCCCGAAAUGUAUUUAGGUACAGCCUGUAGAUAUUUAUAUGGGGGUAGGGCACUGGAUGGGCUAGGGCUGCGAAGGCGGUACCAAACCCAACCAAACCUUGAAUACCGUAAUAAAGUUUCUAUGGAGUGAGACUGCGGGUGCUAAGAUUCGUAGUCGAGAGGGAAACAGCCCAGAUCGUCAGCUAAGGUCCCUAAGGUAGAGCUAAGUGGUAAAGGAUGUGUUGUUACUGAUACAACCAGGAUGUUGGCUUAGAAGCAGCCAUCAUUUAAAGAAAGCGUAACAGCUCACUGGUCGAGUGGCAAUGCGCCGAAAAUUUAACGGGGCUAAAGUUCUACACCGAAGCUACGGAAUUUUGUGAAGCGUGUUCGUGAUCGUGGAAGGGGGAUUUUUAUGUGGACACGGAUGCGGUUACGUUUCACGGGGUUGGUAGGGGAGCAUUCUGUGGGCUUGAGAAGGUUAGUUGUGAAGCUAACUGGAGGUAGCAGAAGAGAUUAUGCUGGCAUAAGUAACGCAAAGGCUGAUGAGAAGUCAGUCCGCCGAAAACCUAAGGGUUCCUGGGGAAGGGAAAUCCGCUCAGGGUUAGUCGGGCCUAAGGUGAGGCCUAAGGGCGUAGCCGAUGGGUAGCAGGUUAAUAUUCCUGCACUAUGUGCAUAGCGUUAUAGACUGAAGCGGGGACGCAGGAGGAUAGUUUGGGCCUGGUGGUGGUUCAGGUACAAGCACUGAGGUUAGUGUGUAGGGAAGUCCGCGCACUGAUGAGGCUGGGGUGUGAUGUGGAAGCCUGUAAUUAGGUGAACUCAGAUGAAUUCACGCUGACGAGAAAAACCGCGUAGGGAGUUAUGUAUGUAACCGUACCGCAGACCGACACAGGUAGGUUGGUAGAAGAUACCGAGGCGAACGAGAGACCCCUCGCUAAGGAACUCGGCAAAAUAGCCCCGUAACUUUGGGAGAAGGGGUUCCUUGAGAGAGGACGCAGUAAAGAGGGCCAAGCGACUGUUUAUCAAAAACAUAGGUGUCUGCGAACUUGAAAGAGGAAGUAUAGGCACUGACGCCUGCCCGGUGCCGGAAGGUUAAUAGGAGAGGUUAUUCAGAGAUGGAGAAGCUUUGAAUUGAAGCCCCGGUAAACGGCGGCCGUAACUAUAACGGUCCUAAGGUAGCGAAAUUCCUUGUCGGGUAAGUUC
Molecule: ribosomal RNA, 2040 nt
Filed under: hot springs metagenome
Description: bacterial LSU rRNA
Rfam family: Bacterial large subunit ribosomal RNA
Source: RNAcentral